Molecule: ribosomal RNA, 267 nt
Filed under: uncultured Prevotella sp.
Lineage: Bacteria; Pseudomonadati; Bacteroidota; Bacteroidia; Bacteroidales; Prevotellaceae
Description: partial 16S ribosomal RNA
Rfam family: Bacterial small subunit ribosomal RNA
Source: RNAcentral
CGUCGACCGGCGCACGGGUGAGUAACGCGUAUCCAACCUGCCCUUUACUUGGGGAUAACCCGUUGAAAGACGGACUAAUACCCAAUGAUAUUCAUUGAUGACAUCUGAUUUGAAUUAAAGAUUUAUCGGUAUAGGAUGGGGAUGCGUCUGAUUAGCUUGUUGGUGAGGUAACGGCUCACCAAGGCAACGAUCAGUAGGGGUUCUGAGAGGAAGGUCCCCCACAUUGGAACUGAGACACGGUCCAAACUCCUACGGGAGGCAGCAGAA